AUGUACCACUCGUACACUCCGGUUCCUGUGCGCCGUCCACACCCACCUGGCGACUGCUCGCUACGUUUUAUUAGCC
Molecule: small RNA, 76 nt
Filed under: Xanthomonas euvesicatoria pv. allii
Lineage: Bacteria; Pseudomonadati; Pseudomonadota; Gammaproteobacteria; Lysobacterales; Lysobacteraceae
Also listed under: 5 other names
Description: sX9 sRNA
Rfam family: Xanthomonas sRNA sX9
Source: RNAcentral